CGCUGAUAGCCGCGAUCCACGAGGAGGAGCUCUCACCUGUGGCCUUCCUCUCUCUCUGCAUCGCUCUUUCUGCGUGUGAAGAUGACAGUCCUUAGUGGCCAGAGGGAAAAUGAGAGCAUAGGAUGGGACCAGGGGACACUCAUUGUGGUUCCUCUCUGGCUCAUACUUUGAUGAACCCACUUCAUCUUCCCAGAGGUGAAGCCCAGUUGGUGAAAGUCAAGCCCAUUUCCUGCUUCAUGCUCUCAGACUGUGCCAGCCAUCUUCCUCUUGUAGAAGGUGCAACCUUCCAGCUGUGCCUGCAGAGCCACCACAUAAAAGUGAGCAUGCUGCUCAGAUGCAACAAGCCAGUGGCCUAAGGAGGUGAACCUGUGUACCUCUGCAAGGUGGCAGCUGCCACCCAAGCUUCAAUUCUGCUCCCUGCCAUGGACCCAACAGCCCCCAACCCUCCCGGGUCACUGAAGUUCUUUCCAAGUCUGCCCUUUUAUACUCUCUUUCCCUCUCUCACACCUUCACAACCAGUAAGACACUUGGUAUAGGUGUUUUUGCAGACUUUGAACUGAGUGGAAGGUAUCUUUCUUCUUCCAGCAGGAGGCCAAAGUUUACUGUAGCAACAUUAAAAGGUGUGAAGGCUCAGGAAA
This is a long non-coding RNA of Gorilla gorilla gorilla (western lowland gorilla), 638 nucleotides long. RefSeq lists it as uncharacterized. Lineage: Eukaryota; Metazoa; Chordata; Mammalia; Primates; Hominidae. The record is from RefSeq and is a predicted model, not a curated record. The transcript has 2 exons.